AACUCAAAGGAAUUGACGGGGGCCCGCACAAGCGGUGGAGCAUGUGGUUUAAUUCGACGCAACGCGAAGAACCUUACCUGGGUUUGACAUGCAUCGGACCGGUGGUGAAAGCCACCUUCUCUUCGGAGCCGAUGCACAGGUGCUGCAUGGCUGUCGUCAGCUCGUGUCGUGAGAUGUUGGGUUAAGUCCCGCAACGAGCGCAACCCUCGCCCUCUGUUGCUACCGGGUUAUGCCGGGCACUCUGAGGGGACUGCCCCGGUGAACGGGGAGGAAGGUGGGGAUGACGUCAAGUCCUCAUGGCCUUUAUGUCCAGGGCUACACACGUGCUACAAUGGUCAGGACAAUGGGUCGCUCCCUUGCAAGAGGUUGCCAAUCUCAAAAACCUGAUCCUAGUUCGGAUGGUCGGCUGCAACUCGCCGGCCUGAAGCUGGAAUCGCUAGUAAUCGGAGAUCAGCACGCUCCGGUGAAUACGUUCCCGGGCCUUGUACACACCGCCCGUC
RNAcentral lists this ribosomal RNA (500 nucleotides) under uncultured bacterium. Its description in RNAcentral is "bacterial SSU rRNA". It matches the Rfam family "Bacterial small subunit ribosomal RNA", at positions 898 to 1398 of the family's 1533-position model. The record is from RNAcentral.